GACGAACGCUGGCGGUGUGCUUAACACAUGCAAGUCGAACGGUAAGGCCCUUUCGGGGGUCCACGAGUGGCGAACGGGUGAGUAACACGUGAGUAACCUGCCCUCAUCUCUGGGAUAACAGUCGGAAACGGUUGCUAAUACUGGAUAUGAGCCUGCAAGGCAUCUUGUGGGUUGGAAAGAUUUUUUGGUUGGGGGUGGACUCGCGGCCUAUCAGCUUGUUGGUGAGGUAGUGGCUCACCAAGGCUUCGACGGGUAGCCGGCCUGAGAGAGCGACCGGCCACAUUGGGACUGAGAUACGGCCCAAACUCCUACGGGAGGCAGCAGUGGGGAAUAUUGCACAAUGGACGGAAGUCUGAUGCAGCAACGCCGCGUGCGGGAUGACGGCCUUCGGGUUGUAAACCGCUUUCAAUUGUGACGAAGCUUUUUGUGACGGUAGCAGUAGAAGAAGCACCGGCUAACUACGUG
RNAcentral lists this ribosomal RNA (465 nucleotides) under uncultured bacterium. Its description in RNAcentral is "partial 16S ribosomal RNA". It matches the Rfam family "Bacterial small subunit ribosomal RNA", at positions 28 to 507 of the family's 1533-position model. The record is from RNAcentral.